GGCUCAGGACGAACGCUGGCGGCGUGCUUAACACAUGCAAGUCGAACGAUGAACCACUUCGGUGGGGAUUAGUGGCGAACGGGUGAGUAACACGUGGGCAAUCUGCCCUUCACUCUGGGACAAGCCCUGGAAACGGGGUCUAAUACCGGAUACAACACUCUCGGGCAUCCGAUGAGUGUGGAAAGCUCCGGCGGUGAAGGAUGAGCCCGCGGCCUAUCAGCUUGUUGGUGAGGUAACGGCUCACCAAGGCGACGACGGGUAGCCGGCCUGAGAGGGCGACCGGCCACACUGGGACUGAGACACGGCCCAGACUCCUACGGGAGGCAGCAGUGGGGAAUAUUGCACAAUGGGCGAAAGCCUGAUGCAGCGACGCCGCGUGAGGGAKGACGGCCUUCGGGUUGUAAACCUCUUUCAGCAGGGAAGAAGCGAAAGU
This 433-nucleotide ribosomal RNA is filed under the name Streptomyces sp. R-45838. RNAcentral's name for it is "bacterial SSU rRNA". It matches the Rfam family "Bacterial small subunit ribosomal RNA", at positions 21 to 457 of the family's 1533-position model. Lineage: Bacteria; Bacillati; Actinomycetota; Actinomycetes; Kitasatosporales; Streptomycetaceae. The record is from RNAcentral.